AUUGAACGCUGGCGGCAGGCUUAACACAUGCAAGUCGAGCGGAGCGAGGGUGCUUGCACCUUAGCUUAGCGGCGGACGGGUGAGUAAUGCUUAGGAAUCUGCCUAUUAGUGGGGGACAACAUUCCGAAAGGAAUGCUAAUACCGCAUACGCCCUACGGGGGAAAGCAGGGGAUCUUUGGACCUUGCGCUAAUAGAUGAGCCUAAGUCGGAUUAGCUAGUUGGUGGGGUAAAGGCCUACCAAGGCGACGAUCUGUAGCGGGUCUGAGAGGAUGAUCCGCCACACUGGGACUGGAACACGGCCCAGACUCCUACGGGAGGCAGCAGUGGGGAAUAUAGGACAAUGGGCGGAAGCCUGAUCCAGCCAUGCCGCGUGUGUGAGGAAGGCCUUUUGGUUGUAAAGCACUUUAAGCGAGGAGGAGGAGCUCUAGGUUAAUACCCUAGAUGCUUGGACGUUACUCGCAGAAUAAGCACCGGCUAACUCUGUGCCAGCAGCCGCCGUAA
RNAcentral lists this ribosomal RNA (501 nucleotides) under uncultured bacterium. RNAcentral's name for it is "partial 16S ribosomal RNA". It matches the Rfam family "Bacterial small subunit ribosomal RNA", at positions 30 to 523 of the family's 1533-position model. The record is from RNAcentral.